ACGAACGCUGGCGGCAUGCCUAACACAUGCAAGUCGAACGAGACCUUCGGGUCUAGUGGCGCACGGGUGCGUAACGCGUGGGAACCUGCCCUUAGGUUCGGAAUAACUCCCCGAAAGGGGUGCUAAUACCGGAUAAUGUCUUCGGACCAAAGAUUUAUCGCCUUUGGAUGGGCCCGCGUUGGAUUAGCUAGUUGGUAGGGUAAAAGCCUACCAAGGCGACGAUCCAUAGCUGGUCUGAGAGGAUGAUCAGCCACACUGGGACUGAGACACGGCCCAGACUCCUACGGGAGGCAGCAGUGGGGAAUAUUGGACAAUGGGCGAAAGCCUGAUCCAGCAAUGCCGCGUGAGUGAUGAAGCCCUUAGGGUUGUAAAGCUCUUUUACCCGGGAUGAUAAUGACAGUACCGGGAGAAUAAGCUCCGGCUAACUCCGUG
RNAcentral lists this ribosomal RNA (432 nucleotides) under uncultured bacterium. RNAcentral's name for it is "partial 16S ribosomal RNA". It matches the Rfam family "Bacterial small subunit ribosomal RNA", at positions 29 to 507 of the family's 1533-position model. The record is from RNAcentral.